This 545-nucleotide ribosomal RNA is filed under the name Apopempsis sp. UPOL001215. Its description in RNAcentral is "partial 16S ribosomal RNA". It matches the Rfam family "Bacterial large subunit ribosomal RNA", at positions 1802 to 2619 of the family's 2925-position model. The record is from RNAcentral. Lineage: Eukaryota; Metazoa; Arthropoda; Insecta; Coleoptera; Cleridae.
GUUAACAAAAACAUGUCCUUUUGAUUAUAAUUUAAGGUCUAAUCUGCCCACUGAUAAAUUAAAUGGCCGCGGUAUUUUGACCGUGCAAAGGUAGCAUAAUAAUUAGUUUCUUAAUUAGAAGCUGGAAUGAAAGAUUGAAUGAGAAAAUAACUGUCUCAAAUUAAAUUAUUUAGAAUUUUAUUUUUAAGUUAAAAAGCUUAAAUAUAUUUAAAAGACGAGAAGACCCUAUAGAGUUUUAUUUAAUUGUUUUUUAAAAAAAUAUUAAUUUGAAUAUUUUUUAUUUAGUAAUUAAAUUUUGUUGGGGAGAUAAAAAAAUUAAGGAAACUUUUUUUAUAUUAAAACAUUAAUUAAUGAUUAAUUGAUCCAAUUUUAUUGAUUAUAAGAUAAAAUUACCUUAGGGAUAACAGCGUAAUUUUUUUUGAGAGUUCUUAUCGAAAAAAGAGAUUGCGACCUCGAUGUUGGAUUAAAGUUAAAUUUUGGUGUAGAAGCUAAAAGAUUAGGUCUGUUCGACCUUUAAAACUUUACAUGAUCUGAGUUCAGACCGG